AGUUUCUUGACAGGACUUAUUAAGAAUUGCUGAUGAGUAAAUAUACAUUCUGAGGAUUUAAGUAGCAAUGGUUGCCUGAAGUGAUCCCUGAGCCAAAAUCAUCAGACUGAGCUUCCCAGACUCUGCCACAAUGACCAGAGACCAUCCAAGACCACUUGAGACUCCGUGGGCAAGCAACCUCCGUGGGCAAGCAGCAUCCGUGGGCAAGCAACCCCCGUAGUCAAAUAUAACUCUCCAAGAACUCCAUGCCGACAGCCAAGUCUGCUGGCUGCCACAGAGUGCUUUGGUUCACGAAGAAUGCCAAACCCAGCUAAUAGCUGAGCUGCUCCUGGCAACUGCUUUCUGGGAAAUGCAGCGCCCAGCUGAGAGAUGCUGCAGAGUCAUAUAUAUUCUAAUAGGCAGUAAAGUGAAGCCGCGUAUGCUCUAAUAUGAAGUAGAGUGAAAUGUUUAUUGUUAUAGGGUCAUUAUCCUUGCUCUGAUAACCCAUUGUACGCUGUGUAUGUUUGAGCUUGAAACCAAAGUAAAGCUUUAAAAUCCUAA
Long non-coding RNA from Mastomys coucha (southern multimammate mouse), 540 nucleotides. RefSeq lists it as uncharacterized. Lineage: Eukaryota; Metazoa; Chordata; Mammalia; Rodentia; Muridae. The record is from RefSeq and is a predicted model, not a curated record. The transcript has 2 exons.